RNAcentral lists this ribosomal RNA (496 nucleotides) under uncultured bacterium. RNAcentral's name for it is "partial 16S ribosomal RNA". It matches the Rfam family "Bacterial small subunit ribosomal RNA", at positions 28 to 506 of the family's 1533-position model. The record is from RNAcentral.
GAUGAACGCUGGCGGCGUGCCUAAUACAUGCAAGUCGAGCGAACGGACGAGAAGCUUGCUUCUCUGAUGUUAGCGGCGGACGGGUGAGUAACACGUGGAUAACCUACCUAUAAGACUGGGAUAACUUCGGGAAACCGGAGCUAAUACCGGAUAAUAUUUUGAACCGCAUGGUUCAAAAGUGAAAGACGGUCUUGCUGUCACUUAUAGAUGGAUCCGCGCUGCAUUAGCUAGUUGGUAAGGUAACGGCUUACCAAGGCAACGAUGCAUAGCCGACCUGAGAGGGUGAUCGGCCACACUGGAACUGAGACACGGUCCAGACUCCUACGGGAGGCAGCAGUAGGGAAUCUUCCGCAAUGGGCGAAGGCCUGACGGAGCAACGCCGCGUGAGUGAUGAAGGUCUUCGGAUCGUAAAACUCUGUUAUUAGGGAAGAACAUAUGUGUAAGUAACUGUGCACAUCUUGACGGGACCUAAUCAGAAAGCCACGGCUAACUACGU